Long non-coding RNA from Carassius gibelio (silver crucian carp), 534 nucleotides. RefSeq lists it as uncharacterized. The record is from RefSeq and is a predicted model, not a curated record. The transcript has 3 exons. Lineage: Eukaryota; Metazoa; Chordata; Actinopteri; Cypriniformes; Cyprinidae.
AGAUGUUAAAAGCAAGAGACAUGGGAGAGCAUCAUUCCUUUGAGAUUUUAUAACUCAAACCAACUUUGGAGUUGAUUUGGAGAGUCAUUAUUCUUGGUCUUCGCUCUUAGAGGCCACUGAUGAAGAACAGGCAGUGACUGGGAUGAAUGCUGGUCAGAGAGGAGAAUCUUCUUUCCCCCAAACUGAUGCAGCGGUGGUUUUAAAGGAGGACGCUGCCCUGGAUGAUGUAGAUGUCGUCAGAUGCUGUGCUGAUGGGGUUUCUUCAUGAUUACAUCAGUUAUGCUAAAGAGAUCAUGAAAAUUGACUGUGAUGCAUGAUCUGUAUUCAUGGACUAUGAAACAAACUGUAAGUGUAUAAUUUGUUUAAAAAAAAAAAAGUUAAAUGCUUUUUCUGUGUUGUUUAGUAGAAGAGUUUACACUCUGUCAUUCAUACACCUGCUCACAUUCUUUCACACACACACACACACACACACAUGCGUCUGUUAAAUGUUAUAAUAUCAAAGUUAAUGUUGUGAUUUAUUUGUGUACUGUCAUG